CUCGUAGGCGGUUCGUCGCGUCCGGUGUGAAAGUCCAUCGCUUAACGGUGGAUCCGCGCCGGGUACGGGCGGGCUUGAGUGCGGUAGGGGAGACUGGAAUUCCCGGUGUAACGGUGGAAUGUGUAGAUAUCGGGAAGAACACCAAUGGCGAAGGCAGGUCUCUGGGCCGUCACUGACGCUGAGGAGCGAAAGUCGUGGGGAGCGAACA
Molecule: ribosomal RNA, 208 nt
Filed under: uncultured bacterium
Lineage: Bacteria
Description: partial 16S ribosomal RNA
Rfam family: Bacterial small subunit ribosomal RNA
Source: RNAcentral